This 884-nucleotide ribosomal RNA is filed under the name uncultured organism. Its description in RNAcentral is "bacterial SSU rRNA". It matches the Rfam family "Bacterial small subunit ribosomal RNA", at positions 541 to 1430 of the family's 1533-position model. The record is from RNAcentral.
UUAUCCGGAUUUAUUGGGUUUAAAGGGUGCGUAGNCGGGCUUGUAAGUCAGUGGUGAAAUGCUGUGGCUUAACCAUAGAAUUGCCAUUGAAACUGCAAGUCUUGAGUACAGUUGAGGUGGGCGGAAUGAGUAAUGUAGCGGUGAAAUGCAUAGAUAUUACUCAGAACUCCGAUUGCGUAGGCAGCUUGCUAAACUGUAACUGACGCUGAUGCACGAAAGCGUGGGGAGCGAACAGGAUUAGAUACCCUGGUAGUCCACGCUGUAAACGAUGAGCACUGGUUGUUGGCAAUACACCGUCAGCGACUGAGCGAAAGUAUUAAGUGCUCCACCUGGGGAGUACGUCGGCAACGAUGAAACUCAAAGGAAUUGACGGGGGCCCGCACAAGCGGAGGAACAUGUGGUUUAAUUCGAUGAUACGCGAGGAACCUUACCUGGGCUUAAAUGUAGAGUGCAUUGCUUGGAAACAGGCAUUUUCUUCGGAACUCUUUACAAGGUGCUGCAUGGUUGUCGUCAGCUCGUGCCGUGAGGUGUCGGGUUAAGUCCCAUAACGAGCGCAACCCCUAUUGUUAGUUACCAGCACGUAAUGGUGGGGACUCUAGCAAGACUGCCGGUGUAAACCGUGAGGAAGGUGGGGAUGACGUCAAAUCAGCACGGCCCUUAUGUCCAGGGCUACACACGUGUUACAAUGGCAAGUACAAAGAGCAGCCACCUGGCGACAGGGCGCUAAUCUCAAAAGCUUGCCUCAGUUCGGAUCGAAGUCUGCAACUCGACUUCGUGAAGGUGGAUUCGCUAGUAAUCGCGCAUCAGCCAUGGCGCGGUGAUACGUUCCCGGGCAUUGUACACACCGCCCGUCAAGCCAUGGAAGCCGGGGUACCUGAAGUCCG